CGCGCGCUUGCGGCAGCAGACGCCCUCGUUGAUCGAGGGCCUGGCCACACGCGGGUGGCUGAUCCGUACGAUCCGGAUCCGCGUGA
Molecule: transfer RNA, 86 nt
Filed under: Pandoraea captiosa
Lineage: Bacteria; Pseudomonadati; Pseudomonadota; Betaproteobacteria; Burkholderiales; Burkholderiaceae
Description: Pandoraea sp. LMG 31118 tRNA-Ser
Source: RNAcentral